ACUCCUACGGGAGGCAGCAGUGGGGAAUAUUGCACAAUGGGCGCAAGCCUGAUGCAGCGACGCCGCGUGAGGGAUGACGGCCUUCGGGUUGUAAACCUCUUUCGCCAGGGACGAAGCGCAAGUGACGGUACCUGGAUAAGAAGCACCGGCUAACUACGUGCCAGCAGCCGCGGUAAUACGUAGGGUGCGAGCGUUGUCCGGAUUUAUUGGGCGUAAAGAGCUCGUAGGCGGUUUGUCGCGUCGGCCGUGAAAUCUCCACGCUUAACGUGGAGCGUGCGGUCGAUACGGGCAGACUUGAGUUCGGUAGGGGAGACUGGAAUUCCUGGUGUAGCGGUGAAAUGCGCAGAUAUCAGGAGGAACACCGGUGGCGAAGGCGGGUCUCUGGGCCGAUACUGACGCUGAGGAGCGAAAGCGUGGGGAGCGAACAGGAUUAGAUACCCUGGUAG
This 446-nucleotide ribosomal RNA is filed under the name uncultured Actinomycetes bacterium. RNAcentral describes it as "bacterial SSU rRNA". It matches the Rfam family "Bacterial small subunit ribosomal RNA", at positions 335 to 793 of the family's 1533-position model. Lineage: Bacteria; Bacillati; Actinomycetota; Actinomycetes. The record is from RNAcentral.